RNAcentral lists this ribosomal RNA (266 nucleotides) under uncultured bacterium. RNAcentral describes it as "partial 16S ribosomal RNA". It matches the Rfam family "Bacterial small subunit ribosomal RNA", at positions 88 to 354 of the family's 1533-position model. The record is from RNAcentral.
UGGGUUAGUGGCGGACGGGUGAGUAACGCGUGGAUAACCUGCCGUAUACAGGGGGAUAACACUUAGAAAUAGGUGCUAAUACCGCAUAAGCGCACGGUUCCGCAUGGAACAGUGUGAAAAACUCCGGUGGUAUACGAUGGAUCCGCGUCUGAUUAGCCAGUUGGCGGGGUAACGGCCCACCAAAGCGACGAUCAGUAGCCGGCCUGAGGGGGUGAACGGCCACAUUGGGACUGAGACACGGCCCAAACUCCUACGGGAGGCAGCAG